RNAcentral lists this ribosomal RNA (331 nucleotides) under Trapelus boehmei. RNAcentral's name for it is "partial 12S ribosomal RNA". Lineage: Eukaryota; Metazoa; Chordata; Lepidosauria; Squamata; Agamidae. The record is from RNAcentral.
AAACUGGGAUUAGAUACCCCACUAUGCCUGAACCUAAAUAAAAUAAUGCCAAAAGACUACACUCAACCAAACUUAAAAGACCUGGCGGUGCUUGAAAUCUACCUAGAGGAGCCUGUUUUAUAAUCGAUAAUCCACGUUAAACCUUACCUUCUAUUGCAACUCUCAGCCUAUAUACCGCCGUCGACAGCCCAUUUUACAAAAAAUGCAGCAAAGCUAGACCCCAACCUCUAAUACGACAGGCCAUGGCGUAGCUUAUAAGAAGGAAAACAAUGGACUACACUACCUUAAACCACCAACACAAGUCCUAUUGAAACCCAGGACAAAAGAAGGA